UGAGUGUUGGCCUGUGAAGCUACA
This 24-nucleotide non-coding RNA is filed under the name Cricetulus griseus (Chinese hamster). Lineage: Eukaryota; Metazoa; Chordata; Mammalia; Rodentia; Cricetidae. The record is from RNAcentral.